CACGUAGGGCGCAAGCGUUGUCCGGAAUUAUUGGGCGUAAAGAGCUCGUAGGCGGUCUGUUGCGUCCGCUGUGAAAACUCGGGGCUUAACCCCGAGCCUGCAGUGGAUACGGGCAGACUAGAGGUAGGUAGGGGAGAAUGGAAUUCCCGGUGUAGCGGUGAAAUGCGCAGAUAUCGGGAGGAACACCGGUGGCGAAGGCGGCGCUCUGGGCUGGAACUGACGCUGAGGAGCGAAAGCGUGGGGAGCGAACAGG
Molecule: ribosomal RNA, 253 nt
Filed under: uncultured bacterium
Lineage: Bacteria
Description: partial 16S ribosomal RNA
Rfam family: Bacterial small subunit ribosomal RNA
Source: RNAcentral